Molecule: small nuclear RNA, 104 nt
Organism: Vicugna pacos (alpaca)
Lineage: Eukaryota; Metazoa; Chordata; Mammalia; Artiodactyla; Camelidae
Source: Ensembl
GUGCUUGCUUCAGCAGCACACAUACUAAAAUUGGAACGACACAGAGAUUAGCAUGGACCCUGCGCAAGGAUAACAUGCGAAUUCAUGAAGCAUUCCAUAUUAAA